AUUGAACGCUGGCGGCAGGCCUAACACAUGCAAGUCGAACGAGUGGCGGACGGGUGAGUAAUGUCUGGGAAACUGCCUGAUGGAGGGGGAUCACUACUGGAAACGGUAGCUUAUACCGCAUUCCAUCAGAUGUGCCCAUAUGGGAUUAGCUUGUUGGUGGGGUAAGGGCUCACCAAGGCGACGCUCCCUAGCUGGACCGAGAGGAUGACCAGCCACACUGGAACUGAGACACGGACCAGACUCCAACGGGAGGGAGCAGUGGGGAAUAUUGCACAAUGGGCGCAAGCCUGAUGCAGCCAUGCCGCGUGUAGGAAGAAGGCCUUCGGGUUGUAAAGUACUUUCAGCGGGGAGGCGUUACCCGCAGAAGAAGCAACGGCUAACUCCGUGCCAGCAGCCGCGGUAAUUC
RNAcentral lists this ribosomal RNA (406 nucleotides) under uncultured bacterium. RNAcentral describes it as "partial 16S ribosomal RNA". It matches the Rfam family "Bacterial small subunit ribosomal RNA", at positions 30 to 526 of the family's 1533-position model. The record is from RNAcentral.